This 459-nucleotide ribosomal RNA is filed under the name uncultured bacterium. RNAcentral describes it as "partial 16S ribosomal RNA". It matches the Rfam family "Bacterial small subunit ribosomal RNA", at positions 338 to 795 of the family's 1533-position model. The record is from RNAcentral.
CCUACGGGAGGCAGCAGUGAGGAAUAUUGGUCAAUGGGCGAGAGCCUGAACCAGCCACGUCGCGUGAGGGAAGAAGGUCCUCUGGAUUGUAAACCUCUUUUGCCGGGGAGCAAAAAGCGGUACGUGUACCGCAUCGAGAGUACCCGGAGAAUAAGCAUCGGCUAACUCCGUGCCAGCAGCCGCGGUAAUACGGAGGCUGCGAGCGUUAUCCGGAUUUAUUGGGUUUAAAGGGUGCGCAGGCGGCGAGGUAAGUACGCGGUAAAAUUUCGGGGCUCAACCCCGGCAAGCCGUUGAAACUGGGGUGCUAGAGUGGGCGAGAAGUAUGCGGAAUUCGUGGUGUAGCGGUGAAAUGCGUAGAUAUCACGCAGAACUCCGGUGGCGAAGGCAGCAUACCGGCGCCUAACUGACGCUCAGGCACGAAAGCGUGGGGAUCGAACAGGAUUAGAUACCCGUGUAGUC